GGGGAUUUAGCUCAGUGGCAUAAGCACCUGCCUUGCAAGCAGGCAGUUGUGGGUUUGAUCCCCA
Molecule: transfer RNA, 64 nt
Filed under: Cavia porcellus (domestic guinea pig)
Lineage: Eukaryota; Metazoa; Chordata; Mammalia; Rodentia; Caviidae
Rfam family: tRNA
About the family: Transfer RNA (tRNA) molecules are approximately 80 nucleotides in length. Their secondary structure includes four short double-helical elements and three loops (D, anti-codon, and T loops).
Source: Rfam by way of RNAcentral